GUUAUUAACAAUGACAACCAAUAAAAAGUCCAGAGAGAGAUUAGCAUGGCCCCUGCGCAAGGAUGACACGCAUAAAUCGAGAAAUGGACCAAAUUUUU
Molecule: non-coding RNA, 98 nt
Organism: Arabidopsis thaliana x Arabidopsis arenosa
Lineage: Eukaryota; Viridiplantae; Streptophyta; Magnoliopsida; Brassicales; Brassicaceae
Source: the annotation of a GenBank genome assembly